Molecule: long non-coding RNA, 1007 nt
Filed under: Homo sapiens (human)
Lineage: Eukaryota; Metazoa; Chordata; Mammalia; Primates; Hominidae
Description: novel transcript, antisense to IWS1
Source: RNAcentral
GACAGUACUCACUCAGCCCAGGCUUCCAGGCCCUCCUGGGCCCUCCUAUCCACUGAAGGAAAUGGGAGAUGAGUGGGUAAUGGAAAAGCCUUUGGAGUCAGAUGUAAAUCCAUGACUUGACCACUUAUUGCUGUGAGACCCUGGACAGCUGGAUAUAGAGUUCUUGUUCUAGCAUCCGCCCUGGGAAUCCCCGGAACUGGGCCUCUUACCGACACCAUUGCCUGUAAUCCACAAACCUAGGAGUUACUCCAGUUACUGUCCUACUGAAGGACCCCCAUCCCAUCUGGGCUACUAUAACCACAUGGACCAUCCCUUGCUUCAAUCAUAGAAUUCUUUCUUCAGAUCAAAGUAUAUUCAGACACUCGAUACAGUAACAAAAGCAAGCUAUCCUGGAAGGAAGAAGGAAUCAGGAGGCAGAGCACAUGGUUAAAGCAUGAGAUGUGAAACCAGGAAGAACCAGGUCUGAACCUUAGCUCCACCAGUGGUAGCUUCAAACCUUGGUCCUUUCUGAGCCUGCUUCUUCAACCGUAAGGGAACGCUACACUUCCUUAGAAAUUAAGAGUGUGUGCUACACUGCUUUACCAGAGCAAGGCCAAAAGCAGCUUCAAUUAUGGUACAACUGUGUGAAGACACAAUGCAAAACCACUCAAGAAUGCUCACUCAAAUGGAUUUUUACCAUGAUAAGCGACCAGAAAACAGUCCUCUCUGAAUCAGACAAACUUCAAGAGCUACAAGGGUUAUUAACACAUGAAGUAAAGAGUCAAACAGUAAUCUGCAGGAACUCGGAAACGGGACCCAGAAAGUUGUUUUCUCAAGUGGAUGGAACAACACAAGCAAUCAGUAUCCUGAAACAGGCCCUGUUCCAACAAACUGACCCAGAAAGGUCUGGUUAGGAGGACAGGACCCUCACUAUACACUAUCACAUUUAAACUAAAAGGAUAUUAUGAAUUAUGUACACAUAUCAAGCUGAGAGGAAAGGAAAUCCUAUCAUCUUGCAGGCUUCCUAA